CCGUGUCGUGGGAGACACUUUGGACCAGCACCCACGCCGCCCUGCCCAGCGCGGGCGUGCACGUUCAAGCGGCCAUUGGCGUCUCCCACCACCCCAAAACCCCCCAUCCCUGCCUAAUACGCACCCUUUGUUUCCUCGGCGGGCCCGCCCGCCGCAGGACCCCUUCUGGAAACGCUUUUGCAAACCACGCAGUCGUUCGUCUGAGCGGAGUUUAUACACGCAAUCAAAUUA
This 231-nucleotide unclassified non-coding RNA is filed under the name soil metagenome. RNAcentral describes it as "partial internal transcribed spacer 1". The record is from RNAcentral.